GACUGGACGCUGUAAACACAGUUUUAUGCGUUAAGGCAUAUUCAUCGGCCAGGACCGCUGCCUGACUCAACGUCGCCACUUUGUUUUCACUAAGAUGCUUCACAAUUCUUUCAGCCGGGCCGUUUUCAACUUUAGCCGAGCAACCUCUACAGACUCUGAGAACUCAGGAGACGACAGUGCAUACUUUGGCAGAGUUUGAGGCACUGGGGCUUCCCAAUCUCCAACACUGCCCUUUGGCCUUGCGGGCGAGAGAUUCUCUACAGGGCCCUCAUCCUCCUCAUCCUCUGUUUCCACAUCCUCCACAGCCAUAACUCCUGCCCUAGACAGACUCAAUAAAUGGCUUUUGAUCACCA
Molecule: long non-coding RNA, 353 nt
Organism: Gasterosteus aculeatus aculeatus (three-spined stickleback)
Lineage: Eukaryota; Metazoa; Chordata; Actinopteri; Perciformes; Gasterosteidae
Source: RefSeq, a predicted model, not a curated record